CCUACGGGAGGCAGCAGUGGGGAAUUUUGGACAAUGGGCGCAAGCCUGAUCCAGCAAUGCCGCGUGCAGGAUGAAGGCCUUCGGGUUGUAAACUGCUUUUGUACGGAACGAAACGGCGAGCUCUAAUAAAGUUCGCUAAUGACGGUACCGUAAGAAUAAGCACCGGCUAACUACGUGCCAGCAGCCGCGGUAAUACGUAGGGUGCAAGCGUUAAUCGGAAUUACUGGGCGUAAAGCGUGCGCAGGCGGUGAUGUAAGACAGAUGUGAAAUCCCCGGGCUCAACCUGGGACCUGCAUUUGUGACUGCAUCGCUAGAGUACGGUAGAGGGGGAUGGAAUUCCGCGUGUAGCAGUGAAAUGCGUAGAUAUGCGGAGGAACACCGAUGGCGAAGGCAAUCCCCUGGACCUGUACUGACGCUCAUGCACGAAAGCGUGGGGAGCAAACAGGAUUAGAUACCCUGGUAGUCCACGCCCUAAACGAUGUCAACUGGUUGUUGGGUCUUCACUGACUCAGUAACGAAGCUAACGCGUGAAGUUGACCGCCUGGGGAGUACGGCCGCAAGGUUGAAACGUCAAAGGAUUGACGG
This 585-nucleotide ribosomal RNA is filed under the name uncultured bacterium. Its description in RNAcentral is "bacterial SSU rRNA". It matches the Rfam family "Bacterial small subunit ribosomal RNA", at positions 338 to 916 of the family's 1533-position model. The record is from RNAcentral.